Molecule: transfer RNA, 88 nt
Filed under: Nevskiaceae bacterium
Lineage: Bacteria; Pseudomonadati; Pseudomonadota; Gammaproteobacteria; Nevskiales; Nevskiaceae
Description: Sinobacteraceae bacterium tRNA-Ser
Rfam family: tRNA
About the family: Transfer RNA (tRNA) molecules are approximately 80 nucleotides in length. Their secondary structure includes four short double-helical elements and three loops (D, anti-codon, and T loops).
Source: RNAcentral
GGACGGGUGGCAGAGCGGUUGAAUGCACUGGUCUUGAAAACCAGCAAACCGCAAGGUUUCGUGGGUUCGAAUCCCACCCCGUCCGCCA